UACGGAGGGUGCAAGCGUUAUCCGGAUUCACUGGGUUUAAAGGGUGCGUAGGUGGGUCUGUAAGUCAGUGGUGAAAUCUCCGAGCUUAACUCGGAAACUGCCGUUGAUACUAUAGAUCUUGAAUAUCGCGUAGGUAAGCGGAAUAUGUCAUGUAGCGGUGAAAUGCUUAGAUAUGACAUAGAACACCAAUUGCGAAGGCAGCUUACUUCACGAUCAUUGACACUGAGGCACGAAAGCGUGGGGAGCAAACAGG
Molecule: ribosomal RNA, 253 nt
Filed under: uncultured bacterium
Lineage: Bacteria
Description: partial 16S ribosomal RNA
Rfam family: Bacterial small subunit ribosomal RNA
Source: RNAcentral